Molecule: ribosomal RNA, 303 nt
Filed under: uncultured bacterium
Lineage: Bacteria
Description: partial 16S ribosomal RNA
Rfam family: Bacterial small subunit ribosomal RNA
Source: RNAcentral
AGCAGUCGCCGCGGUAAUACGAAGGGUGCAAGCGUUACUCGGAAUUACUGGGCGUAAAGCGUGCGUAGGUGGUGGUUUAAGUCCGUUGUGAAAGCCCUGGGCUCAACCUGGGAAUUGCAGUGGAUACUGGGUCACUAGAGUGUGGUAGAGGAUAGUGGAAUUUCCGGUGUAGCAGUGAAAUGCGUAGAGAUCGGAAGGAACAUCUGUGGCGAAGGCGACUAUCUGGGCCAACACUGACACUGAGGCGCGAAAGCGUGGGGAGCAAACAGGAUUAGAUACCCCAGUAGUCCCUGUCUCUUAUAC